Molecule: ribosomal RNA, 253 nt
Filed under: uncultured bacterium
Lineage: Bacteria
Description: partial 16S ribosomal RNA
Rfam family: Bacterial small subunit ribosomal RNA
Source: RNAcentral
GACAGAGGUGCCGAGCGUUAGGCGGAAUCACUGGGCUUAAAGCGUGUGUAGGCGGAUGCCUAAGUACCUUGUGAAAUCCCACGGCUUAACCGUGGAACUGCUUGGUAUACUGGGUGUCUUGAGCCACUUAGGGGCGACCGGAACAAACGGUGGAGCGGUGAAAUGCGUAGAUAUCGUAAGGAAGACCAGUGGCGAAGGCGGGUCUCUGGACAGUUCCUGACGCUGAGGCACGAAGGUCAGGGGAGCAAACGGG